This 450-nucleotide ribosomal RNA is filed under the name uncultured bacterium. RNAcentral's name for it is "bacterial SSU rRNA". It matches the Rfam family "Bacterial small subunit ribosomal RNA", at positions 355 to 796 of the family's 1533-position model. The record is from RNAcentral.
UGGGGAAUCUUGCGCAAUGGGCGAAAGCCUGACGCAGCAACGCCGCGUGUGUGAUGAAGGUCUUCGGAUCGUAAAGCACUGUCGGGAGGGACGAACAAGGUCAUGGCUAACAUCCAUGGCGUCUGACGGUACCUCCAAAGGAAGCACCGGCUAACUCUGUGCCAGCAGCCGCGGUAAUACAGAGGGUGCAAGCGUUGUUCGGAAUUAUUGGGCGUAAAGCGCGUGUAGGCGGUCUCGCAAGUUGGGUGUGAAAGCCCUCGGCUUAACCGAGGAAGUGCGCCCAAAACUACGAGACUUGAGUACCGGAGAGGGUGGUGGAAUUCCCGGUGUAGAGGUGAAAUUCGUAGAUAUCGGGAGGAACACCAGUGGCGAAGGCGACCACCUGGACGGAUACUGACGCUGAGACGCGAAAGCGUGGGGAGCAAACAGGAUUAGAUACCCCCGUAGUCC